Capra hircus (goat) is the source of this 360-nucleotide long non-coding RNA. RefSeq lists it as uncharacterized. Lineage: Eukaryota; Metazoa; Chordata; Mammalia; Artiodactyla; Bovidae. The transcript has 2 exons. The record is from RefSeq and is a predicted model, not a curated record.
GGAAGAUGAGGAGAAUACGUGUGUUAACGAUGGACGGUUGGCGCCAGUGAAGAAACAACUCUUUGCUCCUGAGAAGUACUUCACAAACUAUCUUUUCCAUCAGGGACAACAAUGUCACUGUAUGACAAUAUAAUGGAAUUCCUGAGGAAGGCUUUGGCAGCAGAUAAAGCCAGUCACUACCAGUAAUUUGAAAAACAGCGCAAACAUAUCUUGCCAAAAUACAAAUGUGCUCCUAAGUAACCUUGGUUCGUCUCCUGUUUCCUACACCCUAACCCUGAAUGGACUGGUCUACCAACAGGACCGUUUCUCCUCCCAGUGCCCAAAAUACUGUCCAAUAAAUCUGAUGAAUUUUCUCUGUUA